GGUGCCAUCGUCUAGCCUGGCCUAGGACGCUGCCCUUUCACGGCGGAAACUCGGGUUCGAAUCCCGAUGGCACUACCA
This 78-nucleotide transfer RNA is filed under the name Patescibacteria group bacterium. RNAcentral's name for it is "tRNA-Glu". It matches the Rfam family "tRNA". Rfam says of the family: Transfer RNA (tRNA) molecules are approximately 80 nucleotides in length. Their secondary structure includes four short double-helical elements and three loops (D, anti-codon, and T loops). Further hydrogen bonds mediate the characteristic L-shaped molecular structure. tRNAs have two regions of fundamental functional importance: the anti-codon, which is responsible for specific mRNA codon recognition, and the 3' end, to which the tRNAs corresponding amino acid is attached (by aminoacyl-tRNA synthetases). tRNAs cope with the degeneracy of the genetic code in two manners: having more than one tRNA (with a specific anti-codon) for a particular amino acid; and 'wobble' base-pairing, i.e. permitting non-standard base-pairing at the 3rd anti-codon position. The record is from RNAcentral.